CUUCAGUGUCGCCUUUUCUCCACACUCCUUUACCUUCUUCCCUCGUUGGUUCUCAGAUCUCUCUUUGAAAUCGGGGGCAAUGUCAGACAGCAAGAAGUCAAUUCGAUGGGGAUAUUUACCUGAUGAGAUUCUUACCCGUAUUUUCACUUUCCUACCUAUCAAAUCCGUUAUCAUCUGUACCACAGUCUCAAAAACCUGGAAAUCCCUAAUCAAAAACCCAACUUUCAUUUCCACCCAUCUCCACCACUCCCGCAACCAAAACCAAAACCUCUUCCUCCUCUUAAGCCUCUCACGGAAUGACAAACAAGUCUACACAUUGCAUAAAGAAGACGAUGAUCCUGAUUUCACUGAAUACACCAGCUUUGAUUCCCCUGCUCCUGCUCUACACCUUCACAAUGUUGUCGGUACUUUUAACGGCCUGAUCUGCCUCUCCUACGGUUUACCCAAUCGCGCUGAGGAAAUCUUUCUCUGGAACCCUUGUGUGAGAAAGUUUCUCCAACUUCCUUAUCCCGAUGCCACCGUCGACACACAUGGUACGUCCCACACGUCUUUUGGGUUUGGAUUUGAUCCAAAAACUAACGAUUAUAAAGUGGUCAGGAUUCUCUCCAUACACGGUGGUUAUUCGGACUUUGUAAAGUCCCGACUCGUGGUCGAGGUUUACUCACUCUUCGCUAGUGAAUGGAGAAUGCUUAGUCUGCCUCCUAUAUGCGCCAAAAUUAGAAUUGGGCGAGCGACAUUUGCCAAUGGGGCACUGCAUUGGAUUGCUUUUACUAAUGAUGACAAACAGUUUGUUUUGGUGUUCGAUUUGGGGGACGAGGUCUUUCGCGAAAUUCUGCUGCCGGAAUUUCCAGGGCAGGUGAUCUGGACUGGUCUUUCUGUAUAUGGAAACUCCAUUGCUGGGUUUCGAAUUACGGUAGGGAUUGAUGAGAAGGUUCAGAUCAAUAUAUGCGUAAUGAAAGAGUAUGGUGUUGCAUCGUCAUGGACUCCAUUUUUUACUGCUGAUUUUGAAUUCGUAGGGCCCACGCCAAGGCCAAUAGGUUUUAGGAGGAAUGGGGAUGCUGUAUUCGUAUUAGGUGAAGGAAAACUUGUAUGUUGGAAUCCUGAGAGCAAAGAGUUUAAGGAUCUUAGAAUGAUUGGAGAUGACAAUCCUUUUAUUGAUUCUUACAUUGAGAGUCUAGUUUUGCUUGACAAGGCCGCCAACGUUGCAGUUACAUACUAACGAGAAUAGGGCAACAAGUUAAGGGACCAUGUGAAGUGGCUCAGCUGAAGAAGUUGGACAAAAUACCACCGCCACCAUCAUCAUUAUGAUGAUAACAUCGAGUGGAUGAGAGAGAGAGAGAGAGGGAUGGUGGUGAUGAUGAUGAUGAUGAUGAAGAAGAUGAAGCCAAAAUGGGGGUUCAUUUUCCAAAUAAAUGAGCAUGGCUUUGGUACUCAAUUACUUGAAGAAAAGGGACAAAAGAAGGACCUAACUAUAUUGAGUUAGGGGAGGGAGAGGCCCCCAACUCAGUGAGUUCAAAUGUGGGAAUUCUACUCUUUGUUAAAAAUGAUAAUGGUAACUACAAACUGCAUUAGAUGGUCCUAGUCUUUUAACAUAAGUCUAAGAGAAUUGAGACAAGGCUUUGGUGUGUGUGUGCACAUGGCUUUACUUUAUCGUUUGUGUUAACAAUAAGCAAUGAAGAAAAUCUCAAAAUCAGGCUUUUUAUUUUUUAUUUUUUGGUUUUAUUCAUUAUUUUAUGUUAUGCAAAGUUGAAAUGACAUAUUGGAAUUUAAUGAAUGAUACUUAAUUUUUAUUUUAUGUGAGAAACUCAUGAUUAUGAUAGAUUUUUGUAUAAUCAUUAACCUAAGCAUAUGACUCUAUAAAUGAGUGCUUCAGCCUAUAAGUCUUUGAUUAGUAAUUAGGUAUUUGCAAAAUUACAUGCAUUUUCAGUCCUUAUUGGACGUGGGAAUGGGAUUAAACCUAUUCUUUUUACCUUGGUUGUAACGUUUGUACGCGUAUAUAAGUUCGUUUUUCUGCUCCAGAAGGCUCUAUUCUUUUAAUUUUGUUGAUGCUUAUGUUGAGAGUCUUGUUUUGCCCUGCCAACUGUGCAAUUACAUGCUAAGGGAAAUAGGUAAGAUGCAUUUCCUCAAAAUAAAUAAAUUGUUUUUUCAUUUUGUUCUUGUAUGUACUUGGAAUAGAUUAUACAUUAGAUAUGAAUCUGUGAUGUUCGAUAUGGCACUAUUAUAUAAAUUCUUAUUAUUACUAAUUUACUUUAGUUAUGUGGCUUUAUGAGGAUAGGUAGCCUAUCUAGGUUGUGGUUGAGGGUUAUAUUGAGGUGAUAGUUGACUAUGUAGCAUGUAUACGUAAAAUUGUUCAGCU
Quercus lobata is the source of this 2356-nucleotide RNA transcript. It is a transcript of the gene named F-box/kelch-repeat protein At3g06240-like, with no coding region annotated. The record is from RefSeq and is a predicted model, not a curated record. The transcript is spliced from 4 exons. Lineage: Eukaryota; Viridiplantae; Streptophyta; Magnoliopsida; Fagales; Fagaceae.